Molecule: long non-coding RNA, 672 nt
Organism: Gavialis gangeticus (Gharial)
Lineage: Eukaryota; Metazoa; Chordata; Crocodylia; Gavialidae
Exons: 2
Source: RefSeq, a predicted model, not a curated record
GGGGCUCUGAGCCUGCAGCACUGAGGAAGGAUUUGGAAGAGGAAUGUGCUGCUGAGUGUUAUCAGUUCACUUUUCUCUUCCUGCUGGACUCGACAUUCCUUUGCCUGAGCACGCUGACACCUUCUUCUCCCCACCAUACCCCAUGCUGGGACACGCUUGACCUUGAGAGGACCCCCUAGGGAAUAGGCCUGUAACUCAUGAAGACAUUCUUUACAAGGUCAGCAGAGUGUGGCAUACAAAUGACUUCACUCAUCAUUGAAUUGCAGCCUUCCCUGGGGUGAAACACAGGAACUAUUUAACAGUGUGCACUACACUACACGACCACUCCGGACUGGAAGUAAAGAAUCUAUCCAGCUGUGACUGCAGAGGGAAUCUGAGUAGCAAGCUGAAAUGUCUUUUAUUUGUAAAUGAAGGUCCUCUGUCCAGCUUGGCUCCAGUGCAGAGUCUGACUUUCUGCUGUUAAGGAGGCAGGGCUCACCUAAGUUUGUACAGCUCAGCAGGAGAUUAGAGCCCUCAAUCCUUUUGGCUUCUGCUCCCUGGAUCUAUCCACUAGACUGCACAGCUUUUGUUUUGCUCCUAGAGCUGCCUUGUUUGUAAAGAAAAAGCUUCAAUGUGACUAAGACAGGGAAGCAUUUGUACAGCAGUAAGUAAAUGCAGUUUGGUUGAACAUGU